GAAAGAUUGGCGUUUGGUAAAGGAAAUGAGUGAACGCUACCCUUCUAUUGUUCCAAAUUUUGGGCUCCAUCCCUGGUUUAUAACUGAGAGAACUCCUGAUUGGCUGAAAACCUUGAGAGGAUUUUUGGAGUCUACUCCUGCUGCUGCAGUUGGAGAGAUUGGUUUAGAUAAAGGUUCAUUUGGAAGGAAGAUUGAUUUCGCUGAUCAGGUGGAUGUCUGUCGACAGCAGCUUCAACUUGCCAAAGAGUUGGAAAGACCAGCAUCCAUACACUGUGUUCGUGCUUUCGGGGAUCUUCUUGAAUUAUUAAAAUCUGCGGGGCCUGUUCCUGCUGGUUUCAUCCUGCACUCUUACCUCGGCUCUGCUGAAAUGGUUCCUGAAUUUGCUAAGCUUGGUGCUUACUUCUCCUUUUCUGGGUUCCUUAUGUCCAUGAAGGAAAGCAAGGCGAAGAAAAUGUUGAAGUCAAUUCCUAAGGACAGGAUCUUGUUGGAGACAGAUGCACCAGAUGCUUUGCCAAAAUUAAGCAAUCCAGAUUCUCUGUAUUUAAUCGAGAAGGAAGCUUCAUCAGCUGAUGGAACAUCAAGUGGAGGAAUCAAUGAUGGAAAUCCAUCCGAGGAGGACAAAGGCAAUGAACGACAGGCAGAAGAAAUCUAUAACCAUCCUGCAAACAUUCACCAUGUACUCUCCUAUGUUGCAUCAUUACUUGAGCUGACAAAAGAAGAACUUGCUGAGAUAAGCUUCGCAAAUGCUUCUCGGCUAUUUUCUUAUGAAGGUUCAAAGGUACUGCAAGAGGUCUUAAAAUGAUGUGCCAUGACAUGACUAUUGGUUUCCUAAGAAGAAAUGCUGCUUUAGUUUUGAUAUCUGCUAGUUAUACUUCAAUUAGUUCCUGUGUAUCAUGACUCAACUACUAUAAUUC
RNAcentral lists this unclassified non-coding RNA (914 nucleotides) under Hevea brasiliensis (rubber tree). Lineage: Eukaryota; Viridiplantae; Streptophyta; Magnoliopsida; Malpighiales; Euphorbiaceae. The record is from RNAcentral.